GGUACCAUAGCUCAGUUGGUAGAGCACAGGACUGAAAAUCCUGGUGUCGCUAGUUCGAUUCUAGCUGGUACCA
This 73-nucleotide transfer RNA is filed under the name Bacteroides sp. Its description in RNAcentral is "tRNA-Phe". It matches the Rfam family "tRNA". From Rfam's summary of the family: Transfer RNA (tRNA) molecules are approximately 80 nucleotides in length. Their secondary structure includes four short double-helical elements and three loops (D, anti-codon, and T loops). The record is from RNAcentral. Lineage: Bacteria; Pseudomonadati; Bacteroidota; Bacteroidia; Bacteroidales; Bacteroidaceae. RNAcentral also lists the same sequence under 2 other names.